AAUCCUGGCUCAGGACGAACGCUGGCGGCGUGCUUAACACAUGCAAGUCGAACGGAGCACCCUUGAUUGAGGUUUCGGCCAAAUGAUAGGAAUGCUUAGUGGCGGACUGGUGAGUAACGCGUGAGGAACCUGCCUUUCAGAGGGGGACAACAGUUGGAAACGACUGCUAAUACCGCAUGACGCAUUUUGAUCGCAUGGUCGAAAUGCCAAAGAUUUAUCGCUGAAAGAUGGCCUCGCG
This 238-nucleotide ribosomal RNA is filed under the name uncultured bacterium. Its description in RNAcentral is "partial 16S ribosomal RNA". It matches the Rfam family "Bacterial small subunit ribosomal RNA", at positions 15 to 235 of the family's 1533-position model. The record is from RNAcentral.